This is a long non-coding RNA of Eriocheir sinensis (Chinese mitten crab), 2980 nucleotides long. RefSeq lists it as uncharacterized. NCBI's taxonomy places the organism in Eukaryota, Metazoa, Arthropoda, Malacostraca, Decapoda, Varunidae. The record is from RefSeq and is a predicted model, not a curated record. The transcript has 3 exons.
ACUCCACUCUGGACGAUUCCGGGCAUAUUCCUCCUACUCAUCCCCCCUCUGACUCCUUUAUGCCUGUUAUAAAGAUUCUUCAAAAUGAUGUUUUCUAUGUCCUCUCUGGCCUCAAUCCUCAGAAGGCUUAUGGACCUGAUGGAGUGCCUCCUAUUGUCCUUAAAAACUGUGCCUCCGUGCUGUCACCCUGCCUGGUCAAACUCUUUCGCCUCUGCCUGUCAACAUCUACCUUUCCUUCUUGCUGGAAGUAUGCCUUCAUACAGCCUGUGCCUAAGAAGGGUGACCGCUCCAAUCCCUCAAACUACCGUCCUAUAGCUUUACUUUCUUGUCUAUCUAAAGCUUUUGAAUCAAUCCUUAACCGGAAGAUUCAAAAGCACCUUUCCACUUCUGACCUUCUAUCUGAUCGCCAGUAUGGGUUCCGCAAGGGGCGUUUUACUGGUGAUCUCCUAGCCUUCUUAACUGACUCUUGGUCAUCCUCUCUUAGCCGUUUCGGUGAAACUUUUGCUAUUGCGCUGGACAUAUCAAAAGCUUUUGAUAGGGUCUGGCACAAAUCUUUGCUUUCUAAACUACCCUCCUACGGUUUCUAUCCUUCUCUCUGUACCUUUAUCUCCAGUUUCCUUUCUGACCGUUCUAUUUCUGCCGUGGUAGACGGUCACUGUUCUUCCCCUAAAUCUAUUAACAGUGGUGUCCCGCAGGAUUCUGUCCUAUCUCCCACUCUUCUUCUGUUGUUCAUUGAUGAUCUUUUUUCCAAAACGAACUGUCCUAUCCAUUCCUACGCCGAUGAUUCCACUCUGCAUUACUCAACUUCUUUUAAUAGAAGACCCACCCUUCAGGAACUUAACGACUCAAGGCUGGAGGCUGCAGAACGCUAAGCCUCAGACCUUAACAUUAUUUCCGAUUGGGGCAAGAAGAACCUGGUGUCCUUCAGCGCCUCAAAAACACAGUUUCUCCACCUAUCCACUCGACACAAUCUUCCAAACAACUAUCCCCUAUUCUUUGACAACACCCAGCUAUCACUUUCCUCAACACUAAACAUCCUUGGUCUAUCCUUAACUCAAAAUCUCAACUGGAAACUUCAUAUCUCAUCUCUUACUAAAUCAGCUUCCUCGAGGCUGGGCGUUCUGUACCGUCUCCGCCAGUUCUUCUCCCCUGCACAGUUGCUGUCCAUAUACAGGGGCCUUGUCCGCCCUCGUAUGGAGUAUGCAUCUCAUGUGUGGGGGGGCUCCACUCACACAGCUCUUCUGGACAGAGUGGAGGCUAAGGCUCUUCGUCUCAUCAGCUCUCCUCCUCAUACUGAUAGUCUUCUACCUCUUAAAUUCCGCCGCAAUGUUGCCUCUCUUUCUAUCUUCUAUCGAUAUUUCCACGCUGACUGCUCUUCUGAACUUGCUAACUGCAUGCCUCCCCCCCUCCCGCGGCCCCGCUGCACUCGACUUUCUACUCAUGCUCAUCCCUAUACUGUCCAAACCCCUUAUGCAAGAGUUAACCAGCAUCUUCACUCUUUCAUCCCUCACGCUGGUAAACUCUGGAACAAUCUUCCUUCAUCUGUAUUUCCUCCUGCCUACGACUUGAACUCUUUCAAGAGGAGGGUAUCAGGACACCUCUCCUCCCGUAUUUGAUCUUGCUUUCGGCCACCUCUUUUGUUUCUUUUUUAGGAGCAGCGAGUAGCGGGCUUUUUUUUAUUAUUGUUUUCUUUUUUGUGUGCCCUUGAGCUGCCUCCUUUGUAGUAAAAAAAAAAAAACUUUGAUUAUAUUACAUCACUAGGGUAUCUUCAGUUCAGAGUUCAGUUUUCAUGGUAUUUGAAGUUGGGCACUUUCUACAUCUACUAUUAUCAACCAUUACUUUUUUCCAAAUGCAAGGUGGGAUGUCAAGGAUAUUUUUAUACUAAAAGAUACACCCACAGUUGUUUCAUGGCAUACUUUCACUGGUGAUAUACAAGGCAAUGUAGUUUUUAUCUCCCCUACAUAUUCAACAAUUGAUACAUAUAAUUAUGAGCCUAGAGCAAUCCAACUCGGAAAAUAUUAAAUAACUUUGGUGUGCUAUUUUGUCGUUUGAGAAUGAGAUCAGCAAAGACUGGGUCAUAAACAAACAGGAGAAUGAUUUAAUAAACAUUAUUUGUGGUGUGAAUACGACAGAGCUUCUCAGAGCUUGGAGAAACAUGUGGAUAAAAGACUUAGGGAUAUGAUAACAUGUGGAUGGCUUUCAAGAGUUAGUUGCUUUGUAUGGACUGACAAUUGCCCUUGCCUAUUUCUCAAUUCCUUCCGUUCUCUACUUGUUUAACUCCCCUCCCCCCCACCUUUUUCCCCACAACAGUGUACUCCCAGCAGCGCCUGUGCUGAUGGCCCCAACCCGGGAAGAUGCGUGACCAACGAAGAUUCUUGCGUCGCUAGAGAUGAAUACCUAACAGAUGAUGGGUGUGGCAACGCUGCCUGCAACUGUUGCAAGACCUGUGAGCCAGACUCUCGGUGUGCCCGUAAGAAUGGCAUAUGCGUCAACCCAUCUCAGGAAACUGGACAGACUGCCGUUCAUCACGAUCGAUGUCCCGAAGGUUAUCAUCAUUUUAGACCAGGCGCUUGCGGCACUGAUGACUGCAUCUGCUGUAUGCCAACGCCUCAAAAUGAGGGGUGAAACUGUGACCCUGAGCCACCGCCACCGCCUGCACGACCGCCGCCCUGACCGAGGACUGACCCUGCCCUGCCCUGCCCUUGACCUGACCCGCCUCACCUUCAUGCACGGACUUCCUGCACGUGCGCCGUGCACGCUGAUCCUCUGCAGAGUAUUCAAUUCUCCUUCUUCUUGGGCUUGAUGCCAGAGCACCCUUCUGCAAAGAAAAAGAAAAAAUAAUAAAUGCACAAACGUAAAUAGAGAGAUUAAAAAAACUUAACAUUUCAGCAGACAUGAAUUUUGACUUUCGAAAUUCUAUGUAUGCUCAGCUCGCAAUAUGUGUGUACCAGCUGUUCAGAAUUAUGCUGCAAAUAAAAUA